Small nucleolar RNA from Larimichthys crocea (large yellow croaker), 126 nucleotides. The record is from Ensembl. Lineage: Eukaryota; Metazoa; Chordata; Actinopteri; Sciaenidae.
GCAUGGCAGAAUUCUGUGUUACUCCUGAAAUAGUAAAUACAGUCAGACACCAUGCUAAAUUAUUUUCACACACUGACUCAACAACAGGAUAAGAGGCCUUAUUCUUAUGUCAGAGUGAAUACAUGU